UAACCUGGUUGAUCCUGCCAGUAGUCAUAUGCUUGUCUCAAAGAUUAAGCCAUGCAUGUCUAAGUAUAAGUUCUGUACUGCGAAACUGUGAAUGGCUCAUUAUAACAGUUAUUAUUCCCUGGCCGGUCAGUGAUUCCUUGGAUACCCAUGGUAAUUCUAGAGCUAAUACAUGCUUAAAAACCCGACUUCUUGAAGGGUUGCGCUUAUUAGAUACCGAACCAACCCAGGCUCCGUCUGGUUUUCGUUGAUUCAUAGUGUUCUGGCGAAUCGACUCGCAAGAGUCGAUGAGGCUAUCAAGUUUCUGACCUAUCAGCUUCCGACGGUAGGAUAUUGGCCUACCGUGGCUUUGACGGGUAACGGAGAAUUAGGGUUCGAUUCCGAAGAGGGAGCCUGAGAAACGGCUACCACAUCUAAGGAAGGCAGCAGGCGCGUAAAUUACCCAAUCCUGACACAGGGAGGUAGUGACAAGAAAUAUCAAUAUAAGACGUUUCUGUCUUGUAAUUGGGAUGAGCGAAACAUAAACCGCUUCUCGAGUAUCAAUUGGAGGGCAAGUCUGGUGCCAGCAGCCGCGGUAAUUCCAGCUCCAAUAGCGUAUAUUAAAAUUGUUGCGGUUAAAACGCUCGUAGUUGGAUAUCUGCCAAGGAGUUUCGGUCCUCCCCAGUGGAGAAUACGCGGAACAUUUCUUGGCACUUGUUCAGGGAAGGUGUUUGCACUUUGUUGUGCGUCACGUGAUCUGAAUUUUUACUUUGAGGAAAUGAGAGUGUUUCAAGCAGGCUUUUGCCAUGAAUAUGAUAGCAUGGAAUAAUAGCACAGGACCGCCGACUGGAGAUUGGAGUCGUCAGUCCUUGACGUCUUCAGCAUCCUGAGAGAAAAUCUAAGUCUUUGGGCUCCGGGGGGAGUAUGGUCGCAAGGCUGAAACUUAAAGGAAUUGACGGAAGGGCACCACCAGGAGUGGAGCCUGCGGCUUAAUUUGACUCAACACGGGGAAACUUACCAGGUCCAGACAUAGAUAGGAUUGACAGACUGAUAGCUCUUUCUUAAUUCUAUGGGUGGUGGUGCAUGGCCGUUCUUAGUUGGUGGAGUGAUUUGUCUGGUUAAUUCCGUUAACGAACGAGACCUUAACCUGCUAAAUAGUCUCCAAAACUUCGGUUUUCGGCUUACUUCUUAGAGGGACUUCGUGUGUUUAACAUGAGGAAGUUUGAGGCAAUAACAGGUCUGUGAUGCCCUUAGAUGUCCUGGGCUGCACGCGCGCUACACUGAUGUGUCCAGUAAGCACCUAACCUCAUCCGAAGGGAUCGGGUAACCUUUGCAACGCACAUCGUGAUGGGGAUAGAUUAUUGCAAUUAUUAGUCUUGAACGAGGAAUUCCUAGUAAGCACAAGUCAUCAGCUUGUGUUGAUUACGUCCCUGCCCUUUGUACACACCGCCCGUCGCUCCUACCGAUUGAAUGGUCCGGUGAAUACUUCGGACUGUGAAAUGUUUAGUUUCUAUCCAUUUCACGGAAAGUUGAAUAAACCUUAUCAUUUAGAGGAAGGAGAAGUCGUAACAAGGUUUCCGUAGGUGAACCUGCAGAAGGAUCA
This 1579-nucleotide ribosomal RNA is filed under the name uncultured marine eukaryote. Its description in RNAcentral is "SSU rRNA". It matches the Rfam family "Eukaryotic small subunit ribosomal RNA". The record is from RNAcentral.